CGUGGAAGAGGCAGGAGUGGCCCAAGUGUUCUCGCGCCGUGGUAGUUUGUGUAAGAUAGCGUAGCUUAUUAGUCGUGUGUGCAAAAGUUAAACGGUGUGUUAUCGUGUGUGCUGGUGGUUGAUAACGACAGAUCCGUGACCACGCCGCUACGACGCCCGACAACCCACACCGAACCAUCGAGGCCAUUCUUGACCCCACCAUCAGAUUGCGAGGUUCUCCCGGGGCACGCCGGAAGAGGGACGCGAUCGCCAAUCAACGCGCGCCCUAGGCAGGGCAUCACAGAAGAAGAAGAAGAAGAAGAAGAAGAGAGAAGACAACCGUUUUCCGUUGGUGACGACCGACGGACAUCGACGCACGUGCCGCGUCGCGCCAAACCAUCGAUGAGACCGUAAGUUCUAUCCGGAGCAAAGUCAUCCGUAGGCGACAACCGCAGUCGCAGCGUCAUCAGCUAGCCCAGCUAGCCCAACCGCCGACCCGCCGGCAAACCGCGAUGUAAGAUUCAUCCCAUCCGUUCAACAAACAGCAGUAGCAACAUCAACCGCUAGGCAAGCCGCCGACCCGCCGGCGAUCAGCAAGUAAUUCGCCGCCAUCGUCCGCAAGUGCACAUGGACGCCGCGUAAGUCGUCCAUUCAAAGUGAGUACUCCUUUCUAAAUACAUGCGCAUGUGAUUUUCUGCCGCAACAUAGCCCUAUUCCGUUGCUAGGCGAAGACACGGCUUCGCCGUGAGAAAUAUGUUGAGUGCCGAUUAAGCACAAUAGUCGUUGCGUUUGCGUAGCGCGUUAGAAAAUUGCACGUUUCUGUUGAGUGAACCACACCAGGAGAGCACACACGAUAGGAGGCUAGGGACA
This is a long non-coding RNA of Armigeres subalbatus, 849 nucleotides long. RefSeq lists it as uncharacterized. The transcript has 3 exons. Lineage: Eukaryota; Metazoa; Arthropoda; Insecta; Diptera; Culicidae. The record is from RefSeq and is a predicted model, not a curated record.